This 204-nucleotide ribosomal RNA is filed under the name Lirata luteogaster. RNAcentral describes it as "partial 18S ribosomal RNA". Lineage: Eukaryota; Metazoa; Arthropoda; Insecta; Hymenoptera; Eucharitidae. RNAcentral also lists the same sequence under 3 other names. The record is from RNAcentral.
UGUUUAACUGACAUGAUUGUGGGACGUCCUACCGGUGGACUUAGCCUCCAUCUCUUCGGAUUUAGGGGCGGUCCAGCUAAUAUCCCAUCGCGGUGCUUUUCAUCGAGUGUCGAGGUGGGCCGGUACGUUUACUUUGAACAAAUUAGAGUGCUCAAAGCAGGCCAUUCUCGCCUGAAUACUGUGUGCAUGGAAUAAUGGAAUAGG